Molecule: ribosomal RNA, 468 nt
Filed under: uncultured bacterium
Lineage: Bacteria
Description: partial 16S ribosomal RNA
Rfam family: Bacterial small subunit ribosomal RNA
Source: RNAcentral
GACGAACGCUGGCGGCGUGCUUAACACAUGCAAGUCGAACGGAAAGGCCCUGCUUUUGUGGGGUGCUCGAGUGGCGAACGGGUGAGUAACACGUGAGUAACCUGCCCUUGACUUUGGGAUAACUUCAGGAAACUGGGGCGAAUACCGGAUAGGAGCUCCUGCUGCAUGGGGGGGGUGGGAAAGUGUCGGCGGUUGGGGAUGGACUCGCGGCUUAUCAGCGUGUUGGUGGGGUAGUGGCUUACCAAGGCUUUGACGGGUAGCCGGCCUGAGAGGGUGACCGGCCACAUUGGGCCUGAGAUACGGCCCAGACUCCUACGUGAGCCAGCAGUGGGGAAUAUUGCACAAUGGGCGGAAGCCUGAUGCAGCAACGCCGCGUGCGGGAUGACGGCCUUCGGGUUGUAAACCGCUUUCGCCUGUGACGAAGCGUGAGUGACGGUAAUGGGUAAAGAAGCACCGGCUAACUACGUG